UACGGGGGGGGCAAGCGUUGUUCGGAAUUAUUGGGCGUAAAGGGCUCGUAGGCGGCCAACUAAGUCGGACGUGAAAUCCCCAGGCUCAACCUGGGAACUGCGUCCGAUACUGGAUGGCUUGAAUUCGGGAGAGGGAUGCAGAAUUCCAGGUGUAGCGGUGAAAUGCGUAGAUAUCUGGAGGAAUACCGGUGGCGAAGGCGGCAUCCUGGACCGACAUUGACGCUGAGGAGCGAAAGCUAGGGGAGCAAACGGG
This 253-nucleotide ribosomal RNA is filed under the name uncultured bacterium. RNAcentral describes it as "partial 16S ribosomal RNA". It matches the Rfam family "Bacterial small subunit ribosomal RNA", at positions 524 to 776 of the family's 1533-position model. The record is from RNAcentral.